UACAACAGUUAUGAGCGACGC
This 21-nucleotide non-coding RNA is filed under the name Caenorhabditis elegans. The record is from RNAcentral. Lineage: Eukaryota; Metazoa; Nematoda; Chromadorea; Rhabditida; Rhabditidae.